GGCACAGUCCAGUGAAAAGUGUCAUUGAGUUACGAUCUCGGUCCCAAGAUCGCUGAGCCGCCACCGUUGGCGGCAUUGGCCGUUGCUUAAAGUUCAAUUAAAAGUAAUUAAAACUGCUACGAGUUCAAGUCACACCCAUGGAAAUCUAAAUACAACUAUACUAAGUACAACUUUAAAUGCACUGAGCAAUAGUACAAAACAAUCGUCAGAAAUAUUUAAAUGCUUCAAUAUUCUUCAUUCGAAUAUAAAAAGAAACCAGAAACUAAAAUGCAACUGGUAUUCGAGUUAGAUCAAUAAUCAAGAAACUCAAUUCCAAAAUAAACAUGCUUCGUCCAUAUAAACAAAAGUACAACAGGAACUAAAAUGCAACUGGUGUUCAAGUAAAUUAAGAAACGCAGUUACAAAAUACUAAAUGAUUGCCGUAUAAAUAAAUAAACAUAACAAGAAGACUUAAGUGACUGAAUACCAACAAGGAAAAGUCACGCGCUCAUAUAAAAGAAUUAAAAGAUUCAAUCAAACCCCAAAAAACUAAAAAAAAAAUUAAUCAUUUGAAUGAUACACAGUCCACUUCUGCAAUUUUGGUUAAAUUACUACAUUUAUCGCCUCAUAAAAUCUGGAAAUUUUCUUGAUCACAAUAAGAUAUCCAAAUGCAUACAAACUUUCACGAUGAUAGAGUUCCCAGGGAAACUUCAAAUACUACUUCAAAAUAAUCAAUUUACUUGAUAAUAUAAAUGAUGAUGAUGAUGAUCAACGCAACUAUCAACAAAAAAAUAUCUUCCAGUCUUAAGAACGAAGCUUAGUUGUAAAUUUAUUUGUGCCUUUUUAGUUUCCUAAUUUGUUUAUUUUCUGUUGUGUUCAUGUUUUUUGUUAAACAAAUUUAAAAGCUAUAAAUUUGUUGGUCUAACAAUAUCCUUGAAUAAGGUUUCCAUUUAAUUUAAUUAAUCAAAAGGAGAAUAUUUAGGAAAGCUUACUCAAUGUAUAUUGCCAAUAGCAAGGCGUGUUUUUGUUGCUAAAUGAUUAUUUAUGUAUACGCGAGGACCCUUGAGUUUUAAAUUUUCAUUUAAUUUAAAACACUUUUUAUUUCGGUUUUAUUUGUUUUCCGUUCAGUUGGUAUUUAAAUAUACCGUGUUUUGAUUUUUUAGAUUCAUGAUUUCGGAUUUGGUAAGUGUUUUCUUUUAUUAUUUAUAUAUUUUAUUAUUAUAAUUUGUGUUCAAGUAUUUUUUAAAUAUUCACUAAAUUAUUUCUGUUGUACUUUUUUUGAAUUUUUUUAUUUUAUCUUCAAUUUUUUGUUUUAUUUAUUCUUUUAAGUUAUUUUUUUUUAAUCAAGAAAUUACAUUUUUGUAAAUUAUUUUUGAUUUUAAUUUAUUUGUUUAUAUUUUCAAUAUUCGUUCGUUUAUUAUGCCUAUCUUUUUUUGUAUAUGUUGUUCCAAUUCCAUAUUAUUAUUCUUUUUUAAAUUCUUUGAAAUUUAAUCAUUUAUAUUUUGAUUGUUUUUAAAAAUGGUUGUUUUUUAUUUGUUUUAUAUUUUUCUUGGUUUAUUAUUUAAUACUGUUUACUAUUUCAGUUUGUUGACUUCAUUUAUGAUUUGACUUUUUGUAUUAUAUUUUUAGUUUUCAAUUCUUUUGUUAUUUAAAUUCUUUCAUAUUUAUUUAUUCUUUAAAUUCUUUAAAUAUUAAAUUAUUAUUGUGAGUUUUUUUCACUUCUUUUUAUCUCAAAUUUUUGAUUUUUAUUAUUUUAAUAAUAUAUAUUUAUAGAAUAUAUUUAAAUAUUUUUCAGUAUUUAUCAAUAGUUUCCUAUAAGUUUUGUAAUGUUUAUUUAUUUCUUCUAAAAAGUUUAUUUUUUGUGAUAAUUAGGUAUUUUUAUCUUUAAGCUUUCUAUAUUUUUAGUUGUUUUUUAAUAAAAUGUUAUUUUUGUUUUAUUAUUAUUUUUUAUUACUAUUACUUUAUUUUAGGUAGGUAUUUAUUUAGUAAUACAAAUUUUUUGUUCUGAUUUUGUUUAUUAUUUAAAAACAUAUAUUGAUUUUUGAAUCCUUUUUGUAUUUUAUAUUAUGUUAUUUUAUUUAUGUAAAUUAAUAUUUUUCUUUUUUUAAGCUUAAGCUUUUUCUUUUGGUUUUAUACUUUUGAUAAAUGAAUUUUCAAACGUUUGGCUUAUAUUUCAAGUGAUUUUAUUUUUAUUUAUUUUGAGACAUCAAUUUAUUAAUUUCUGAUUUAUCUAUCAAAAUCAUAUUUUCCUUUGGUUUCCUUAUUAAUAAAAGUCUUUAAUCAGAUUUUUUAAAUUUAUCAAUAUCAAUUUUUUUGUUUGUGUUAUUCGUUUGCCCAUUUUAUUCGUUUCUUUUUUUUUAAAUCAAGCUCUGGGUCUCUCAAAAAAAGUUACUUCAAAAAAAGAAAACCGAAUGUAGUAGCUCUAUAUGUAUUUCUUAAAACUUGAAAAAUAAAAUAAAAUGUUUCCAAUU
Molecule: non-coding RNA, 2450 nt
Organism: Drosophila melanogaster (fruit fly)
Lineage: Eukaryota; Metazoa; Arthropoda; Insecta; Diptera; Drosophilidae
Source: Ensembl